AACGGCCGCGGUAUCCUAACCGUGCGAAGGUAGCGUAAUCACUUGUUCUUUAAAUGAGGACUAGUAUGAAUGGCACCACGAGGGUUAAACUGUCUCCUUUUUUUAAUCAGUGAAACUAAUCUCCCCGUGAAGAAGCGGGGAUUCUUUUAUAAGACGAGAAGACCCUAUGGAGCUUUAAACAAGUUAACACCUGCUACUAAUCUUCACUUUCCUGAACCACCACAUUAAGUAUAGCACCUCUGAUUGACAGUUUUCGAUUGGGGUGAUCAUGGAGCAAAAAUCAACCUCCACGACGAAAAGGAACACCUCCUUGAGCCAAAAGCUACAACUUUAAGCACUAAAAAACUAACGCACUUUGACCCAAUUCUUUGAGCAACGAACCAAGUUACCCUAGGGAUAACAGCGCAAUCCACUUUAAGAGCUCCUAUCGACAAGUGGGUUUACGACCUCGAUGUUGGAUCAGGGUAUCCCAGUGGUG
RNAcentral lists this ribosomal RNA (478 nucleotides) under Boana raniceps (Chaco treefrog). Its description in RNAcentral is "partial large subunit ribosomal RNA". It matches the Rfam family "Bacterial large subunit ribosomal RNA", at positions 1926 to 2555 of the family's 2925-position model. Lineage: Eukaryota; Metazoa; Chordata; Amphibia; Anura; Hylidae. The record is from RNAcentral.